CAGGAAGACAAGGAGAGACAGAGGGCGAAGAAAUCAGGAGAUCUAGAUCCUGCUAUGGUCUCUAUAGAACAACUGAAAAAGAGCCAGUGCAUCAUGGGUGAGGGGAAUGGGCGUCUUACAGAGGUCACCUUAGAUAGGGUCGCUAUGGAGAUGACCCCCCCCCCCCCCCAUCACCAUACUACCAACCACAGAAGCCAGUGAGAGAGAUGAGGAGAUGGAGCACUCCAGUGAGUCUGACACUCUCAGAAGCCAUCAGCAGCAGUCCUGCUCAGCACACCAU
Long non-coding RNA from Carassius auratus (goldfish), 280 nucleotides. RefSeq lists it as uncharacterized. Lineage: Eukaryota; Metazoa; Chordata; Actinopteri; Cypriniformes; Cyprinidae. The transcript has 3 exons. The record is from RefSeq and is a predicted model, not a curated record.